Long non-coding RNA from Cyprinus carpio carpio, 971 nucleotides. The record is from Ensembl. NCBI's taxonomy places the organism in Eukaryota, Metazoa, Chordata, Actinopteri, Cypriniformes, Cyprinidae.
AGAUAACCGAAAGUAGAAAUAAUUCUCAAAAUCUGUUGAAAACAGCAAGAGAGCACCUACUUUUACCUCAGAGUCUUAUUUCCAUCCAAAAUAUGGCACAAUAAAGUAACAACAACAAGGGCACAGCCAUCAGAGAGAGAGCGAGAGAGAGAUGCUUGGAGGAACAUUGCUACAUCUUCCCUUCUCCGCCUACCCAGAAAGCCCCAGUGCCAUCUGUACCCCUGUGGGGUGCGGGAGAAUCCGUGCCAGUGCCAGCGGCGACAAAACCCUCAUCAGCGUCCUGGAGCCCCGGCACCAACACAGACGGCACAGGGAGGAAGGGAGGCCAUCUUGACGGAGAUCUUACACAAGAAGCUAAGAUGGCUGGGCUGGCACAUGAGAUUGUUUGUAGCUGAAGAUGGAAAACGAAGGGUGGGAGUAUGAAAAGAAGAAAAUAUCCUCUUGACAUAGAUGAAGUGAAUGGGAGUGAGGGAUGGUGGCGUUUAAAGAGACAGGCGGCAUCCCAGCAUUCUCGUGGAUGUGGACUGAACUCGGUGGAUUCACACUUUGUUGAAAAUGAGACGAAAAUUGACUAAAUAUUCAUCCAGAGAGAACAAUGGGAGCCUCAAGCACCUGAAAGUUUAAGAGGCACAUAAAAUCAUGUGUGUGUAUAUGAGAGCUAAAGUAUUUUGUGUUUAAUAUAAAAGAUUUGUACUGUACAGUAUUAUACAGUAUUUUCAUUAAGAUUAUAUUUGCAUUUUUUACAGUUGCCUAAAGAUAUUUUUCUUUCUUUCAUAGCUAUUAAAAUGAGAAAUAUUAUGUGCAUCUUAUAUACAUAUAGUUUUGUAUUUUUACAUGUAUGUAUUUCCUGUUUUUAUGUUUGUUUUUUUCUGAUUUUUUUAUUUUGAUUUAAUUUUAUUUAUAAAUAAAAAAUUAUACUGUAUAUUGUAUUAUACGGAUGAAUAAAACUGUGAUUCAAAAGUGAAUGAUAU